This 396-nucleotide ribosomal RNA is filed under the name uncultured bacterium. RNAcentral describes it as "partial 16S ribosomal RNA". It matches the Rfam family "Bacterial small subunit ribosomal RNA", at positions 523 to 918 of the family's 1533-position model. The record is from RNAcentral.
AUACGGAGGGUCCGAGCGUUAAUCGGAAUUACUGGGCGUAAAGCGCGCGUAGGUGGUUCAGUCAGUCAGAUGUGAAAGCCCCGGGCUCAACCUGGGAACUGCACCUGAUACUGCUGAGCUAGAGUACGGUAGAGGGCAGUGGAAUUUCCGGUGUAGCGGUGAAAUGCGUAGAGAUCGGAAGGAACACCAGUGGCGAAGGCGACUGCUGAGACUGAUACUGACGCAGAGGAGCGAAAGCGGGGGUAGCAAACAGGAUUAGAUGCCCUGGUAGUCCACGCCGUAAACGAUGUCAACUAGCCGUUGGGGGACUUGAUCCUUUAGUGGCGAAGCUAACGCGAUAAGUAGACCGCCUGGGGAGUACGGCCGCAAGGUUAAAACUCAAAGGAAUUGACGGGG